AGAUUGAACGCUGGCGGCAUGCCUAACACAUGCAAGUCGAACGGGAGUAGCAAUACUCUAGUGGCGGACGGGUGAGGAAUACGUAGGAAUUUGCCCUUAAGUGGGGGAUAACCCGGGGAAACCCGGAUUAAUACCGCAUGACCUCGAAAGAGCAAAGUGGGGGAUCGCAAGACCUCACGCUUUUGGAGAAGCCUACGUCGGAUUAGCUAGUUGGUGAGGUAAUGGCUCACCAAGGCGACGAUCCGUAACUGGUCUGAGAGGAUGAUCAGUCACACCGGAACUGACGACACGGU
Molecule: ribosomal RNA, 293 nt
Filed under: uncultured soil bacterium
Lineage: Bacteria
Description: partial 16S ribosomal RNA
Rfam family: Bacterial small subunit ribosomal RNA
Source: RNAcentral